RNAcentral lists this non-coding RNA (1201 nucleotides) under Lentinula edodes (shiitake mushroom). RNAcentral describes it as "Bacterial large subunit ribosomal RNA". It matches the Rfam family "Bacterial large subunit ribosomal RNA", at positions 573 to 1301 of the family's 2925-position model. Lineage: Eukaryota; Fungi; Basidiomycota; Agaricomycetes; Agaricales; Omphalotaceae. The record is from Rfam by way of RNAcentral.
GUCGAAAUUCUACUUUUAAAAGAUUAAUGAAUGACGGCGUACCUUUUGCAUAAUGGGUCAGCAAGUUAAUAAGAGUAGCAAGGUUUAAAGCCCUAGCGAAAGCGACUGGACUAUUUAUUAAAUAGUGAUGGAUAAGUUACUUUUAUUAGACCCGAAGCCAGGUGAUCUUACCAAGACCAGUUUAUAAUUGAGCGUACGGGUGAAUGUUGCAUUAUUCUCCGAAGAGUUUUGGUAAGCGGCGAAAUACCAAUCUGACCUGGUGCUAUCUGGUUUUCUACCGAAACAUAUUUAAGUAUGACAUCUACAUUUAUAGAUUUAUGGAGGUACAGAAAGGCAACUCCCAACAAGAAAUAGUUUUAUGUUGUGCCCUAUUUCUUAAAAAAUAGACAGCAUCCUUAGUCGAGCAUCGAGCAUCCUUAUCUCCAACCUUUCGUCACUUCACCUUUCGUAUAUAAGUACGUAGUACAGAGUACGGAGCCCUUAAAAGGGAGUGGUGGUUGUUGUAUGUAGAGGGAGGAGGAAAUGGAAGCAAACAUGCGUAGCCGUAGGCAGGCGGGAAAAUUUUUAAUUUAAUUUUAAUCGAUUAAAUAAGUUUUUACAUAAUACUAUUUGGAGUUCAGGUUGCGGGGACGUAGAAAUCUUACCUUUGGAGGCGAAUCUCGGAAUUACAUAAAUUGAUAGUAGAUAUUCAGACUAUUCAUGCUAAGUUGAAUAGUCAAGACGGAAACAGCCGAGAACACAGAUCAAGGUCCCAAAUGAUUGUUAAGUGAAAUUAAGGAUGUAGCAUAAUCGUAUACAGCUGUUAAGUGAGCCUGGCAGUCGCUACUUAUAAUGAUCGUAUGUAACAACGCAUCAGCAGUAAGACUGUAGCACCGAAAAUUUAACGGGUCUUAAACAAUCAACCGAUAUCGUGUUGGUAUUAAAUAAAAUAUUGUACUCUCCCGAUACCUGCCAUACGACAAUGACACCGUGUUAUUCUAUUCUAUUGAUUAGGUUAACUCUAUGUAGUUGAGUAUGGAUUACGGAGUACGGAUUCUUGAGUACAGCACCAUUCUACGGUUAUGUUACCCCUUCGGAGCGUAGACGUAGCCAUGAUGCUUAUUUUUAUUUUAUUUUUUAUCUAGGUAGUAGAACAUUCAGUCAAUCUAUUGAGAAAAUAGUGUUUCAUUAUUUUUUAGGGAACUGAAGAGAGAAUGCUGAC